Molecule: unclassified non-coding RNA, 466 nt
Filed under: Hevea brasiliensis (rubber tree)
Lineage: Eukaryota; Viridiplantae; Streptophyta; Magnoliopsida; Malpighiales; Euphorbiaceae
Source: RNAcentral
GCUCUGGGCGCAUAUGUGGAGCGGUAAGAUAUACUUUAACAUAUGUUUUAUUUCUGCUUUAAGCGAAAGUUUCAAGUCUCUUGAUAAAUCACAUAAUGGGACGGAGAGAGAGUGAGAUUUCUUUUACUAUUGAACUGCUAUAUCAUUUUUAGGGAAAUUAAAAGCUUCCUAGAUCAGUACUUCAAUCCUAGAUACAUCAACUCUUUCUGGGAUUGACCAUUUGUAUGUAAUUCUUACAUUUGCUUCUUGUCUAUGUAGUAUGUACCCUUAUGGCAAUUAUGUCUUUAACUUGUCACUAUACCGGAGCCACUAACCUGAGAAGUUCUUUUCAAUUGAUUAUGGAUUCUAGUUGCUUUCUAGUCACACGAUCCAUAUGAAAAUUUGCACUGCAGCAUCUAGCUUGGCUCUAAGCAUAUGUGAUUGCCACAUAUAUGGUAUUAAAAUUUAAAUAGAGUUUAUAAAUGUG